UUUUUUAUAUAGGAGGAAUUGCUGGAUAAUUCCAUAUCCUCGGAUAAAAUUAAUCGCCUCCGGGACUUUGAAUGUCACGAGCUACGGUCUGCGAGUCAAUUUGCAAAGUUGCACACGAGACGUGCAACUGCAUAAACGAAUCCGUUUGUCCCAUGCACCAUUUACACUCUCCUCUGCUGCUGACAUCUAAAUCGCUAAAGCGAUUGUGGUUUUACCAGGACGAAGGAUAGUCUCUUACGAAACCAGGGCGAGAUUCAUUGUUAAGUCUGCUCGAGGCAAAUUUAUUCUACGCUGAUUGCUGCCGUAGAGGAGAGCGAAAACUGAAUUGUUUCCGGAAAGCAAACCUGGAAAGAUCCUUUGUAAGACCAAAAUCUUCAGGAGAUUGACUAAUGGAAAAUUCGGAUCCCGACCUCAUUGCAGUGAAACAGUACUAAACAAUAGAUACUGUUUCACUGAUGUACAGGAAAAUAAAAGACCGAAACGUUCAAAAUAAUUAGAGAAGAAUUUAGAAACAAGUGUUGAUGUGUCUAACAUCUGGACCUGGCUUUUAUUAGCUCUUUUCUGACUUUUAAAAAUUAAAAUCUAUGAAAAUCCGCAUCUCCAGCGUAUCUCCUCUCGAACUGAUGGUACGUAGGCAUGUCUCGGAUCGGCGAGCGUAGAAGAAACUCACCGGAAAGCGAGAAAAACGAAUGGGAGCCGCGGAUGGGAUGCCGAAGUGGAUAAGAAAUCACUCCAGAUUACCUUGGCGUGGAACACGAUUCCACGAUGAAACGCCUCCUCGCUGUGCAGCGGUAUUCGCGUGUCGUACUCGUCAUUAUGUACGAGGUUGUAUUGCUUCUUAGAGGGCAUGCUGAGCCCAGCUGCAUUCGACUAUCCUCGUCCAGCCUGGCUGCAAUUAUAAUCAACGACCCAUUAGCAUUUUCAUGUGUAAAGAUAAAUGUAUCCUAUAUAUAGUGACCGCGCUUAAUUUAUUUAAUAAAUACGCGAGAUAGGGAGAAACGUUGAACUCUUUGUAGAUUCUACUCUUGUGUAUAUUUCCAAGAUUAUUA
This is a long non-coding RNA of Nylanderia fulva, 1049 nucleotides long. RefSeq lists it as uncharacterized. NCBI's taxonomy places the organism in Eukaryota, Metazoa, Arthropoda, Insecta, Hymenoptera, Formicidae. The record is from RefSeq and is a predicted model, not a curated record.